ACGCGGGUCUCUGGGCAGUAACUGACGCUGAGGAGCGAAAGCAUGGGGAGCGAACAGGAUUAGAUACCCUGGUAGUCCAUGCCGUAAACGGUGGGCGCUAGGUGUGGGUUUCCUUCCACGGGAUCCGUGCCGUAGCUAACGCAUUAAGCGCCCCGCCUGGGGAGUACGGCCGCAAGGCUAAAACUCAAAGGAAUUGACGGGGGCCCGCACAAGCGGCGGAGCAUGUGGAUUAAUUAGAUGCAACGCGAAGAACCUUACCUGGGCUUGACAUAUACAGGAUCGCGCCAGAGAUGGUGUUUCCCUUGUGGCUUGUAUACAGGUGGUGCAUGGUUGUCGUCAGCUCGUGUCGUGAGAUGUUGGGUUAAGUCCCGCAACGAGCGCAACCCUUGUCUUAUGUUGCCAGCACGUUGUGGUGGGGACUCGUAAGAAACUGCCGGGGUUAACUCGGAGGAAGGUGGGGAUGACGUCAAAUCAUCAUGCCCCUUAUGUCCAGGGCUUCACACAUGCUACAAUGGUCGGUACAGUGGGUUGCCAGUCCGUGAGGGCGAGCUAAUCCCGCAAAGCCGGUCUCAGUUCGGAUCGGGGUCUGCAACUCGACCCCGUGAAGUCGGAGUCGCUAGUAAUCGCAGAUCAGCAACGCUGCG
This 644-nucleotide ribosomal RNA is filed under the name uncultured bacterium. RNAcentral describes it as "bacterial SSU rRNA". It matches the Rfam family "Bacterial small subunit ribosomal RNA", at positions 719 to 1361 of the family's 1533-position model. The record is from RNAcentral.